This 232-nucleotide ribosomal RNA is filed under the name uncultured bacterium. RNAcentral describes it as "partial 16S ribosomal RNA". It matches the Rfam family "Bacterial small subunit ribosomal RNA", at positions 118 to 347 of the family's 1533-position model. The record is from RNAcentral.
UGAGCGACCUACCUAAUUGUGGGAGAUAGCCGGCCCAACGGCCGGGUAAUACCGCAUACGAUCGGAGAGGGGCAUCCCUAUCUGAGGAAAGCCUUCGGGCGCAAUUUGAGGGGCUCGCGGCCUAUCAGCUAGUUGGCGGGGUAACGGCCCACCAAGGCGACGACGGGUAGCUGGUCUGAGAGGAUGGCCAGCCACAUUGGGACUGAGAUACGGCCCAGACUCCUACGGGAGC